Molecule: ribosomal RNA, 465 nt
Filed under: uncultured bacterium
Lineage: Bacteria
Description: partial 16S ribosomal RNA
Rfam family: Bacterial small subunit ribosomal RNA
Source: RNAcentral
CCUACGGGAGACUGCAGUAGGGAAUCUUCCACAAUGGGCGAAAGCCUGAUGGAGCAACGCCGCGUGGGUGAAGAAGGUCUUCGGAUCGUAAAACCCUGUUGUUAGAGAAGAAAGUGCGGGAGAGUAACUGUUCACGUUUCGACGGUAUCUAACCAGACAGACACGGCUAACUACGUGCCAGCAGCCGCGGUAAUACGUGGGUUGCAAGCGUUAUCCGGAUUUAUUGGGCGUAAAGGGAACGCAGGCGGUCUUUUAAGUCUGAUGUGAAAGCCUUCGGCUUAACCGGAGUAGUGCAUUGGAAACUGGGAGACUUGAGUGCAGAAGAGGAGAGUGGAACGCCAUGUGUAGCGGUUAAAUGCGUAGAUAUAUGGAAGAACACCAGUGGCGAAAGCGGCUCUCUGGGCUGUAACUGACGCUGAGGUUCGAAAGCGUGGGUAGCAAACAGGAUUAGAUACCCGGGUAGUC